CCUACGGGUGGCAGCAGUGAGGAAUAUUGGUCAAUGGACGAGAGUCUGAACCAGCCAAGUAGCGUGAAGGCUGACUGCCCUAUGGGUUGUAAACUUCUUUUAUAUGGGAAUAAAACGUUCCACGUGUGGGAUUUUGUAUGUACCAUAUGAAUAAGGAUCGGCUAACUCCGUGCCAGCAGCCGCGGUAAUACGGAGGAUCCGAGCGUUAUCCGGAUUUAUUGGGUUUAAAGGGAGCGUAGGGGGAUUGUUAAGUCAGUUGUGAAAGUUUGCGGCUCAACCGUAAAAUGGCAGUUGAAACUGGCAGUCUUGAGUACAGUAGAGGUGGGCGGAAUUCGUGGUGUAGCGGUGAAAUGCUUAGAUAUCACGAAGAACUCCGAUUGCGAAGGCAGUUCACUGGACUGCAACUGACACUGAGGCUCGAAAGUGUGGGUAUCAAACAGGAUUAGAUACCCUUGUAGUC
RNAcentral lists this ribosomal RNA (460 nucleotides) under uncultured bacterium. Its description in RNAcentral is "partial 16S ribosomal RNA". It matches the Rfam family "Bacterial small subunit ribosomal RNA", at positions 338 to 795 of the family's 1533-position model. The record is from RNAcentral.